AUGGAGGAAAGAAAGGACUUCAGUCUUUGGAGAGCCCUAGCAGUUAAAUGUGAACUCCCUUUUUGCAUCAGAAAGGUUGUUGAUGUGGUUAUUGCAGCAGCACUCUGCUGAAUGGCUGUAAUUUACAUACACUUAUCUCCGCUCCCUUCUGCUUCCCCUGGCCUCCUGUAAUUUGCUUGUUACAAGUACCAAGGAAGUAUCUCCAGGGAGCUGCAGGGAAAAUCAAGCUGAAGAUGUGUGAGAUUUUUCAAGUGUGUCUACAGUAUUUUGUUGCUCCUUUUUUUGCCAUGAGAAAAUUGCGUUGCAGGUGGAGUGGAUAAAGGAGGAAAGAUAUACUGACAUAGUAACAUUCUUUAGGUUGAGAAUUGUGGUUGUUUUAGUAAAUAGCAAGCCAAGGAGAACAGCUUAGGGUAACAAUAUUCCCUAGUUAGAAAAGGACUACCGCAGCUUUAGUUAGAGAACAUGCAAUGUUCUAAAUUUACUUUUGAUAAGUUGCAUAUUCUAAGAUCUGUAUGUUUUUUCUAAGCCAAAAUACAUUAACU
RNAcentral lists this long non-coding RNA (542 nucleotides) under Gallus gallus (chicken). Its description in RNAcentral is "lncRNA (ENSGALG00010012374.1)". The record is from RNAcentral. Lineage: Eukaryota; Metazoa; Chordata; Aves; Galliformes; Phasianidae.